GCGUGAAUCUUCCGCAAUGGACGAAAGUCUGACGGAGCAACGCCGCGUGAGCGAUGAAGGCCUUCGGGUCGUAAAGCUCUGUUGUUAGGGAAGAAUAAGUGCUAGUUAAAUAAGCUGGCACCUUGACGGUACCUAACCAGAAAGCCACGGCUAACUACGUGCCAGCAGCCGCGGUAAUUAAAAAAA
RNAcentral lists this ribosomal RNA (186 nucleotides) under uncultured Bacillus sp. RNAcentral describes it as "partial 16S ribosomal RNA". It matches the Rfam family "Bacterial small subunit ribosomal RNA", at positions 355 to 532 of the family's 1533-position model. Lineage: Bacteria; Bacillati; Bacillota; Bacilli; Caryophanales; Bacillaceae. The record is from RNAcentral.